RNAcentral lists this ribosomal RNA (257 nucleotides) under uncultured bacterium. RNAcentral's name for it is "partial 16S ribosomal RNA". It matches the Rfam family "Bacterial small subunit ribosomal RNA", at positions 524 to 776 of the family's 1533-position model. The record is from RNAcentral.
UACGAAGGGGCGUAGCGUUGCUCGGAAUCACUGGGCGUAAAGGGCGCGUAGGCGGACUUUUAAGUCAGGGGUGAAAAUCCUGAGGCUCAACCUCAGAACUGCCUUUGAUACUGAGGGUCUCGAGACCGGUAGAGGUAAGUGGAACUGCGAGUGUAGAGGUGAAAUUCGUAGAUAUUCGCAAGAACACCCAGUGGCGAAGGCGGACUUACUGGACCGGUUCUGGACGCUGAGGCGCGAAAGCGUGGGGAGCAAACAGG